Gigantopelta aegis is the source of this 2578-nucleotide long non-coding RNA. RefSeq lists it as uncharacterized. NCBI's taxonomy places the organism in Eukaryota, Metazoa, Mollusca, Gastropoda, Neomphalida, Peltospiridae. The record is from RefSeq and is a predicted model, not a curated record. The transcript has 7 exons.
UCCAAAUAUUCCCUCUGAUCUGACAGUAUGGAGCAGUGAUCCACACUCAGUAUCAGUUGCUUGGCUGGAGGCUUAUAACGGAGGAUCAGAGCAGACGUUUGUUGUACAAUACCGAGCAGACACAACCUCACAGUGGACAAAUCUCACUGACGUCAUUCCAGAAAAAAGUGGUAGCAAAAUUCAGAAAGCUGUUAUAUCAAAUCUUCAAUCAAACACGAGAUAUAUUGUGCGGGUUUUGGCUUACAAUAAAUAUGGAUACAAAGGCUUUACAGAGGAACAGGGAGCUUUGACUUCACCUUCAGAUUCAUCAAAUGAAGUAACUGGAGCAGGGAUUGCAGUCGGGAUUGUGAUUGGAAUUGCUAUUGCUGCUGUGGCAGCGACUGUGUUUGUUAUUUUGUGGAGACGAGGCUAUGUGUGUGCAUCUUCACAAUCAGAUGGGCAGAAACCAGAAGGUAAUGUGUGGGCAGAAAUCAGAAGGUAAUGUACAUCAACAAGUACAACUAGACGAUAGAAGACGUGGAAACAAUCAAGACAAACACAAACGAGGGACUGGGUACUCAAGAUACGCCGUAUGAAAACAUGGACUUUUAUGAAAAUCUCAAAACAUGAGAAACCAUUAUGGUGAUAUAUUUAUACGUCAUAGAAUUAGGUUGCACGACGUACAUUCAACACUGAAGCAUUCAGACGGUUUCUGUUGGACUUUCCGAGGCUAAGUCACGAUAUGCGUAAUGCUACACUACUUACUGAACUGCUAUCUAUGGAAUACCUUAUAUAUGUAGUGGAAAUAAUCUAGAAAAGCGUUUAACCUAGAAAAGUGCUUUUCCAUAGUUUAGGUCCGCUAUUGAACAAAAUAUAUAUGAAACUAGUCUUAUAUAACUAUAUAUUGUACAUAGUUGUCUGUUUAUAAAAAUAGUCUUAGAGUUUGUAUAAUUAGCUGCGUUCACAUUUGCACUUUACACUGGUUUAACUAAACUGGUAUAACAAAACUGGUUUAAAUGGAAGUGUGAAGGCGAUCUUUUCACUGUACCGGUAUAGCUAAACCUGUAUCUAUAGCUACAACACUUCGGUAUCUGGUAAAACAGUUUAAAUGUAAGUAUGAACGGAAAGUGUUUUAGUUAAACCAAUAUAGAAGCGGAACGUCAUUGACGUCACAGUCAAGAUAAGCAGUAAGUUGUUUAACAUGGACCUAACAGACUGGAAGUCCGUUGGUGUUUUGAUGUUUUGCGCAAGUGCGGAAAACUACACUUCUGCCUUAUACAGAUAUAGCUGUUACACUUGUUUAACGCUCGUUAUUUCCCACGAAAAGUGUUUUGGCUAAACCAAUAUAGUUAUACCAGUAUAACUUGAGUACGAGUGAACACAGCUAUAUACGGUACAUAAUUAUGUAUUGGUAACAAAGUCAUAUACAUGUAGUUGUAUAUAUGUACAUGGUUAUGUAUUGGCCUUCUAAACCUAUUUUAUGUUUAUAGUUACUGAUGUAUACUCUCUUUCAUGUAUAUAUGUUUAAUUGUAACGUGCAUGUAUUGUAUUUAACAUAUCCUCGUUUAAUCGAAAACCGUACGACUAAGAGGAAAUGGCUGGUGCGCAUGCUCAGUCAUGUCAUGCUAUCAAUUUAACGACAUUAAUGUUUACCGUCUUUAAUUUAGAAAUAAAAUGUAUAAAAAGGUAAGUACAUACUCACAUGUUAUCCGUUCCAUCAAGAAUUGCACCAAUUGCAAGAACUGUGUAGGCAUGCAUUUGCAUUGCAUUCAGUAACAUUCCAGGGCACAAGUUAACUGUAAUAAUAAGUUUCAUUGUGCAUAAAACUUAUUCUUACCCUUUUUGGGGGAUUUUUAAGGAAAUUUGUUUUAAGUACACUUCCUUAACAAGAAGUUGUUGUCGUGUCAACGAUCGAACAUGCACAGACAUUACUAGAUACCAGGAAGUAAAAUAAUACGGUUUUCGAUUUCGUACGGGUUUCGAUAAUUGGCGAUGGUAUGACGUUUCUAAACAAUGUAAUGGAAGUUUAUUGCUAAGUUGUUUCUAUAUAGGAGAAGUGUUAUCAUGUUUGUUGUUCUAGCUACGUACGGCUUUGAAACUGAGAUGCGUGUUUUUCCAAAUAAUGUGCAUUUAUUGUUAAAACAAAUUGUUUAUGAUAUCUUACGAAUUGUCAGUCGAAGAUGCACAAUGUGGAGAUUUGUGAUUAAGCUAACCGUUUCGCUUUUCCCUAACCUGUUACUUAUUUGUUGUUUUUUAUUUGGUUAUAUCUGUGUUAUUGUCUUGUUUAUCACAUAUAAAGCCUUAAAUUAUUUGUAUUUGGUUAACAUACAUUAUGAUCAUCCAUACGUUUUAAAAUAAAUAAUUACAUUUAUGUUUUAUUUUGUUGAAUUACUUAAGUCUUAUUAAUAGAGUCAACUGUCUCUUACAUUGGACCUGGAUUUAUCUCUCACGAUUUUGAAUUACGCGUCCUGUUACAUUUAUAGAUUUAUAACAGAAUAAUGAAACUUUAACACCAAAUUAUGACCAGACAGUUAUCUGUGAUUGCACAUCCGGUUUCAUAAAUUGACAAUUGAUGAUUGAUUAAUAAGCGAUUAAAGUG